UAGGGAAUAUUGGGCAAUGGGUGAGAGCCUGACCCAGCCAUGCCGCGUGUAGGAAGACGGCCCUACGGGUUGUAAACUACUUUUAUACAGGAACAAAAAGGGGGAUGCGUCCUUCAUUGAGGGUACUGUAGGAAUAAGCACCGGCUAACUCCGUGCCAGCAGCCGCGGUAAUACGGAGGGUGCAAGCGUUGUCCGGAUUUAUUGGGUUUAAAGGGUACGUAGGCGGGCUAGUAAGUCUGAGGUGAAAGCUCUCGGCUCAACCGGGAAAUUGCCUUGGAUACUGCUAGUCUUGAGUACAGUAGAGGUGGGCGGAAUUCAUGGUGUAGCGGUGAAAUGCAUAGAUACCAUGAGGAACACCGAUAGGGAAGCCAGCUCACUGGACUGUUACUGACGCUGAGGUACGAAAGCGUGGGGAGCGAACAGGAUUAGAUACCCCCGUAGUCC
RNAcentral lists this ribosomal RNA (444 nucleotides) under uncultured prokaryote. RNAcentral describes it as "bacterial SSU rRNA". It matches the Rfam family "Bacterial small subunit ribosomal RNA", at positions 355 to 796 of the family's 1533-position model. The record is from RNAcentral.